AUUUUUUUUUUGUGAAAUCAUUUUCUUAAAUUUUUCAAAUUUUUUUGGUUUUUCUAUGCCUUAGAUGAAUGCAGACUCAAGAGUAUAUACAAUGCAACACACACUUCCUGAGCCCUCCCCCAAACUUAAAUCACACAGUCCACUAUGUGAAUAAACUUGGAAGAGAGUACUCGGGACAAAUCCAAUCACAAAAACAAAAUAAAGAACAAAUUACAAGAGAUGAUAUAAUACAAUGGUGAAGUGAGGCGCUUACCUCAGUCGAAGAAUGAACGAAGUUGGUCGUCAAUGGCUGCCUGUGAUUGCUCCCAGGCCAUAGACGAACUGCCCUGUUCUGUAUCAGCUCCAGCAGGUGGGUACUCGACCUCAUCAGCUCUGUGGCGGCCAACACCGCUCUGAGGAUACUCGACCUCUCUUCUUCUUCUGCGGCCAGCACCGCGGUCGCGUAAACUACAAGACUGCAGAAGUCGUCUGCUCUUGCUGCUAGAUCGAGUGAGUGUGGUCCUCCACUUCCUCCCUGAUUCACGAGGCUCGAAUAAAGAAUGCCUCGCAGGGACAUGCGAAAUCUCCUGCUCUCUAUGCUCAGGCCUGCGCCGACUUGGCUCAGGCGCGUCAUAUCUCCUCGAGGGCAUGUCCGGAGGGAGUUGUCCCUGCGGAAUAGCUGUAGUGGAAGAGGAGCAGCUGAUCUUGUCCUUCAGAAACUGGAUAGCCCUGAGGCAUUUGGCGAGUAACUUAUCCUGUUUCUUGCACCACUUCUGCAGCUUGCUAUUGUUCCUGUGAGAUUCGCUCAAACUCUUGCUUUCCCUCGCUGGAGGUAUAUGCUCACUAAAAUGAUACAUGCUCGUGUCAAACACCGCCUCAUCUACAUCAUCUGUCUCAUCAACAUCUUCUUUUGUAGGUCCUUCGGUGUGACUAAUCUCCUCAGUCUGCGGACUGCCCUCGAAAUAAAGAUCUUCAAGCGCAGGCUUGAAGUCAAUGUUCCUUUGCUCGAGAAUCCUAGUAGCGUCAAUGCAGGGGAGAAGAAUGUUGGCGAUUCGAAUCGAUGAAUGCUCGAAUCUGUAGCGGUGAAAGUCGCCAACCAUGUCAAACUCCAAGAACUCACAUCAGCGCAAGUGAUCCAAGUCCAUCAUUCUCGGUGCUAACCCUGGCUCCUUGAGCGGUACUCCACAAGCUUCCAAAAUUGGCAUCACAACGCCACCCACGCAUAGUGCUGCCUCUCACCUUCUUCUUGCCGUUUAUCAACGCCCACUUCCUGUAUCCACACAGGUGGAUCAACAGAGGCAUUACUGGUGGUGCGUUGUUGAGAUCGCCUCUCAAGACAUUCUUUCCCUUUGUACGGCGGAGAAUCCCUGUAAGCGCGAAAUCUAUCAUCUCCAUGUCCGUGUUAGACACGGUGCCUGUGGACUCCCUCGAGUAGAAAACGUUGGCAACCGAGCACUGAAAGUAGCGGAUCACAGGACUCCGGAUUUGGUUGCUUUUGGACCGUGCCGAGUUUAGCGAUAAUUGUUCCCAAUAGUAGCCCACAAAUCCUUAAGCUCUUCCUUGUCAAACCUGGGUUUGGUUCCCUUUCCACUAGUGAAACCAAACAGUUCUUCCAACUACUUGAUCGAAAGCUGAUACCGCUGUUCAUCCACUGAGAACGUCAAGAACCCUAACCCCAUGGUAUCCAGCUCAAAGUCCGUGAGACCCUCAUACAUCUCCACUUGCAGUAAAGGAACUCGAUUGUCUCCUCCUUAUAGGCAGCAUAAGGGUAAGACAUGAGUGUCUCCAGAUGACACUUCUCGAAUUGAUGCUGCACGUCCUCCAGUAACCCCAGCUCGACUAAAGUCUCAUAGUAGGGAUACCUCGUUCCCCAGAAGUCGUUCAUCUCAAAGAAUCUGACAUACUCCUCCACUGUAACCUCGUCGGGUUUGUUCAGCAGCUUCGUCUCCUUGUGCCAUGACUCUGGCUCAUACUCAGUUUCGAUAUCCUCAUCAAUCAGCUCAUAUCUACUCGACAUCACCCUCUUUCCUAUAGCGAUUUCAGCUCUUCUCUGAUUACGUCGAGCUGCGGAGCGUUCAAAUUCAUCCUUGAAGCUCUCGUAAACAUGUUGCUCUCUCUCCGGUCUAGUGACCAAGACUCAGCUUCGUUUACAUUAUAAUCAGGAUCCAUUGAGGAUUCUCCAUUGUAGUUACUCAUAAUGAAACCUGAAAACAAAUGAAACUCAAAGAUAAACGUUAAUACGUUAGUCCCAACUAAACCAAAAACACAAACCAACAGAGUAAAUCGGUCGAGUAUACCUAAACCGGUUCUGAAU
This 2293-nucleotide small RNA is filed under the name Arabidopsis thaliana (thale cress). RNAcentral's name for it is "ATSL041360". Lineage: Eukaryota; Viridiplantae; Streptophyta; Magnoliopsida; Brassicales; Brassicaceae. The record is from RNAcentral.